AAAAGAUUGCUAGAACGAGAGAUAUCGCACCGGUAUAAGAAAACUAGAUGAGGUUAGAACCUCGAAAUAAUUGAAGGAUUGAAAACCAGAACUUCUGAAAUAUCUUUCACACUCCGGAUAGAAAGAGAGAGGAUUUAAUAACAAGAUAGUCUGAAAAGAAUUUCCAACAUGGGAAAGAAUUUACAAGGAUGAAAAGGAUAUGAUGAACACGGAUAAUUAAAUUGAAUUCACCGGAAAAGAUAAGAAGAUUGAAUACAGAUGAGCACGAAGCUCGUGAAAAUCUUCACAACGAAUCACCGGAUACGACACGGAAGAAAAGAUAGCGG
This 326-nucleotide long non-coding RNA is filed under the name Hordeum vulgare. Its description in RNAcentral is "long non-coding RNA (HVUL_LNC001629)". The record is from RNAcentral. Lineage: Eukaryota; Viridiplantae; Streptophyta; Magnoliopsida; Poales; Poaceae.